UUUUGGCUAAUGCUGAAGAGGCACUGAUUUAACGGCUGACGAGAAAGAUCUUCUAUUUUAGAUUUCAAAUAUCUUACCGGCAGCUUCUCGAGGAGCCAGAAAUUAUAAUCUCGCGUCUCUCUCAUUCAUCUAUCUCUCUCUCUUACUCUUUCUCUUUCUAUACCUCUCUCCAACUCCUUCCCUCAUUUAGAUAUCUCGCUUCCGCGCGGAGGAUCGAUCGAUAUUUUGUCCUGACGGUGGCUAUUAACGACACGCGUACUUUUCAUUCGUUCCCUCCUACUCCGUUUUUCACGCUACGAUUGCUUCCAAACGUAACGUAAGGUGUAACCCCCUCCGAACCCCCUAUCCCCCCAUCGUCGGUUCUUCCAUCAAUGUCAGGUAGCGCAUGUUAGCCCCGCGUAUCCUGCAUCAUCGGUGGUCGAUAUCCUUCGAUAGCUCCGACUACAAUAGCCGGUUCACUCCGAUCGGAGGUCGCGGAUUUCUUCGCGCCAGUCGAUGCUCGAUUUUUAUCGGGUCACCCGCAAGAGCCACCCACUCUGUUUUCACCAGUUCCUAGUCUAUCCUGUGACGUAUCCUUUUCAUCCUGUCGCGGUUGGAAGCACCUACGCGACCGCGUAUGCGUCUGCAAACAGUCAAUAGCAAGUACCAAAACGAGACGAACAUAGCACAAAUAUAGAAACUGUGUUUCGGCGACAAUUGUACAUAAGGAUAUUGGAGAACGAAUCGUUGUCGGUUGUUCCUCGGAGGGGAGAACCGACCUCAGUAUUUUUACGGACUGCCGACACUAUUACAUAAUUAAAUCACAAAGAUAACUACUGUUGUGCUAUUACUGUUAUUGUUAUUAACAUUAUUGUUACCUCCGUUGUUGUUAUACCAUUCGCUGCGAAAUCAGCGGCGAUAGUGACAGUGACAACGGUCGCCGAAAAUCGCGUGGGUCUACGUCAAGACACCCGCGUGUCUCUUGAAAUCGUUAAUUGAAGAUUGACGGAGGAGAAGCAGGAAGAAGAUACACGGGAGAGGAAAUAAAUAGAGGGCAGGAAGUGGAGAAGUGGCACGUGGGAUCGCGAUAUAUCUCUGGAGAGCAAACAACAAGGAGUGCGCCGAGAAUCUCGAUAAGGAUACAUCAUCCGCGAGAAGAGGGUGAUCGAUUCUUGCGUAUCCAUCGGGAGAAUGGUAGUCGAAACCGCGGCGAGAAAUGGGCACGAGCUGGCACCUUUAAACGACCGUCGCCAACCCGCCCAUAACGUGACGAUCGUAACAACAGGAAGCCAAAAUGCCACCGGUGGCCAGGAGACGAAGGAGGAGAACAGGGCGGCAUGGAGUGGGAAAAUGCAAUUCUUUCUCAGUAUUAUCGGGUACAGCGUGGGUCUUGGCAAUAUCUGGAGGUUUCCUUAUCUGUGCCAACAGAACGGAGGUGGUGCCUUCCUCAUUCCUUUUUUCGUGAUGCUCAUCUUAGAGGGCGUACCCCUCUUCCUGAUCGAGCUGGGUCUCGGACAACGUAUGCGACAGGGUGCCCUGGGCGUCUGGAACACUAUACAUCCUUGGUUAGGAGGUAUAGGAAUCGCGUCGUGCAUAGUUACGUUUUUCGUUGCGCUUUACUACAACGUAAUUAUUACUUGGUGCUUCUACUACCUCUUCAAUUCGCUCGAGGCUGUCACGAUCAAAUUCGGUGACCCACUGCCGUGGGCAAAAUGUCCGGAAUUGGACGGGAAACCGGUCGAGGAAUGUGCCAGGAGUUCGGAGACCGCAUAUUUUUGGUACAGGACUACCUUAGACGCGGCGCCGUCGAUCGAGGACGGUCAAGGUCUCAAAUGGUGGAUUGUCCUUUGCCUCUUGCUCAGCUGGGUCAUCGUGUUCUUCAUCGUCAUGAAGGGCAUACAGUCGUCCGGCAAAGUGGUAUACUUUACGUCCAUGUUCCCGUAUCUCGUACUGACCAUCUUCUUCAUCCGUGGGAUAACGUUGAGAGGUGCGAGCGCCGGACUGGCGCACAUGUACACACCAAAGGUCGAGAAACUGUUGGAACCCACGGUCUGGCUUGACGCGGCGACCCAGGUCUUCUACAGCUUCGGGCUGGCGUUCGGUUCCCUGAUCGCGUUCGGCAGCUACAACACUCCCAACAACAACUGCGUGAGGGACGUGAUCCUGGUGAGCGUGUGCAACGCGUUUACUGCCAUUUAUGCGAGCGUUGUCAUUUUCGCCAUUUUGGGGUUCAAGGCAAUGUCAAACGUGGACAAGUGCGUCGUCAGUGCGAAGAACACUCUGGUGGAUAAUAAGCUAUUGAAUGCUUCGGUCUCAUUCAACCUCGAAGACUACGAACGCUUUAUGAGCACCUUCAACUCUUCGGAAAGAAAUUUCACGUUAAAAGCUUGCAGUCUCAGCAAUGAGUUGGACAGUGCUGCCGAGGGUACUGGAUUGGCUUUCAUCGUGUUUACGCAGGCGAUUGUGGAAUUACCGGGUGCGCCGUUUUGGUCCUGUAUUUUCUUCUUGAUGCUUCUGGCCCUCGGUCUGGGCUCACAAAUCGGGAUACUCGAAGGCAUGCUUUGCGUAAUCUUUGACAUAGAUCUCUUCAAAAGAAUAAAAAAGCAAUAUAUGACAGGUGUUGUCUGUGUCGUUUGCUUUUUCGUGGGACUCAUUUUCUGUACUGGUGCUGGAGAAUAUUGGUUGAAAAUGUUUGACAGCUUCGCCGGCACCAUCGGUCUCGUUAUGGUCGCCCUGAUGGAAAUGCUCUCCGUGAUCUUCGUAUAUGGUCACGAAAAAUUCACCAAGGACAUCGAGGAGAUGACAGGAUACAGACCGGGAGUUUAUUGGCAAUUCACGUGGCGAUUUCUCGCUCCCAUAAUAAUGGUUUGCAUUCUUAUAUCAAGCAUCGCCUCCAUGUUCAUCAAGAAGCCGCAAUACUCGGCGUGGAACGCGGCAUUGGGGGUGGCAGAACCCACGAAUUAUCCCAGCUGGGUACUGGGCAUCGCGGCUGCCAUCAUUUUCGCGGGUAUCGCGCCGAUUCCGAUCGUUUUCCUCCUGCGACGAUUCCAAUGCGUCAAACUCGACGUGGAUAUCCAUCAAGGCAGUAUUCGUCGUAUCGACACCACCGUUUCCACCAAGGAAAUGAUGGGCGACGUUGACUUGUAGGUAAGCAUCCAUUCUCUGUCUGUGGUAACGUCGAUUACUUGAUAUCCCCGUAGCUACGUUAUACACCUUGAUGAAUAUCACGACCGGCUCGAGGACUUCCCGGAAGAGGACGAGGACAUUAAUAGCGACGACGAUACAAACAAUGUACCGGCCAUGAGCAAACUCGCCAAGAAGGCAAUGCAGGGUAGAGCUUUCAAGAUGGAAGUAAUGAACUUUUAAAGAGCGC
Molecule: unclassified non-coding RNA, 3352 nt
Filed under: Camponotus floridanus (Florida carpenter ant)
Lineage: Eukaryota; Metazoa; Arthropoda; Insecta; Hymenoptera; Formicidae
Description: sodium- and chloride-dependent transporter XTRP3, transcript variant X2
Source: RNAcentral